CCACACGCUCUCCCUUUCUCUCUCUCUCCUUCUCUCUCUCUCUCGUCCGUCUGUUCUCUGCUCUCUCAUUCGCUCCGCCGGCUCGACGCCGGCUGUCAGUUCAUUUGCCGCGGCAGAGCAACAACUGGCUUCUUCAGCGCUGGGAGCGAAGAGGGGAAGGGGUGAGCGGAGGGAAGAGUGGAAGAAGAAAAAGUGGUAGAGGACGAGCAGCAAAGGAGUGGAGAAAGAGAGGAGGAGAAGAUCUUUUGUUAAACAUCCCUCUGCAGCAGCAUCAGCACCAGCGCCGCUCCCGCUGCUGGAUCCUCCGUCUCCUGCCGGGAUCUGCCUCCUCCUUCUCUUCAGGGAGCUCUUCCUGGAACUGGGAGGGGGAGGGAGACCAGCACCUCCCAGCUUGCUGCGGACCCUCGGCAAGGCAUCAGGAGGAAGGAAGGAGUGAAGGGGAGGGAAUUUUAGAGGAGGCCGUGAGGAGAGCGGAGGAGAGGCAACACCCUGGGUUACAGGAGCAGAGAAGAAGAAGAGAGGCCUGCUCAGGGCUGUUGAUUCUUCGUUCGUUCGUCCGUCCUGCUCCAGCCUCUCUGCACAGUUUUUCCUCCAGAAUAAUGAGUGUGAAGACUCACUCAGUCUUUUGA
RNAcentral lists this long non-coding RNA (629 nucleotides) under Cottoperca gobio. RNAcentral describes it as "lncRNA (ENSCGOG00000019540.1)". Lineage: Eukaryota; Metazoa; Chordata; Actinopteri; Perciformes; Bovichtidae. The record is from RNAcentral.